AUACGUAGGGUGCAAGCGUUAAUCGGAAUUACUGGGCGUAAAGCGUGCGCAGGCGGCUAUGCAAGACUGAUGUGAAAUCCCCGGGCUCAACCUGGGAACUGCAUUAGUGACUGCAAGGCUGGAGUGCGGCAGAGGGGGAUGGAAUUCCGCGUGUAGCAGUGAAAUGCGUAGAUAUGCGGAGGAACACCGAUGGCGAAGGCAAUCCCCUGGGCCUGCACUGACGCUCAUGCACGGAAGCGUGGGGAGC
Molecule: ribosomal RNA, 247 nt
Filed under: uncultured bacterium
Lineage: Bacteria
Description: partial 16S ribosomal RNA
Rfam family: Bacterial small subunit ribosomal RNA
Source: RNAcentral